UCAGCGACAAAGGGCUGCUCCAGCCCAGGGUUUCUUCCUCAGUAUGGGGUAGGGGAGUGUCCACCAGAGACGGCAGGGCUGGCCAAACUGGGCCUCGACCCUGUCCCCUCCUCGCCCUCAUCCCUGCCAUGGGAAUUACUGGUAGACAAAAAGCACACCUCAAACGUUUAUCAGGAGGCCCAGCUCUUCCUCUGCAUGAGUUAACUACACACUGGAAGAAAGAUGAACAAACAGGCCGCAUGAAGGAUAAGUGGUGAAGGGCAGAGAAAUUCCUGACGACAAAUUAACCUUGGCUUCGGCUGGCCUGUCAGCUGAGCAGACCGGCAGGAGCGAAAACCGGCUGUUUCCGCUCAUAUUUGUCAGCACGCUGAUAAGGUUACUGGAGGACUCGAGUGACACUUGGUCACACUGAGGCCGAGAUAGCAGACAUGAUGAAAGGCUGCCAGACCACGUGGUGUGGGGUACGCAGUUUUGACAACCUUUGCCCUUCCUUCCUCCAAGGAAAGGUAGCAAAGGGCAACAGAAAGAACUGCUCAGGGUCAAAGAGACUCGGGUUCAAGUCCACCCCUCUUGUGUCACCCGGCAGUCCUGAGACACCGGCUAACCCUGUGAGCCGACUCGAUUUGCGAAUAAGGCGAAUCUCCUAAUGUUCCUUCGAAGGGCGGAUGAAGAAAAGGCUACAGAGUAAUCACCUCCAUGACGGACGGACUUUCUCUGUGUUAGACACGGGGCGAGGAAUCUAAAGUUCGCAGGUGUUCGGAACCUUGCCCGAGUUUCUUGGUUGCUGUACCACUGCGUGUGAACAGACACUCUGAAUCUAUAAUCCCGGCUCUUUCUGUUGGACUGUGUCACCUUUUGACAUGGGACCCUUCUGAUCCCGGGAAAGGCAAUAUCCUCUACGAUGGACUGAGGAGACCUUGAAAAGACACGGAAUUGUGUUGGUUCGCUGCCUGCCAUACCAACAGGAACAGCUAAAGGAAGCUAAAUCCCACCCCCCUCCAACAUCCCCUCCAUCUCUUCUGCCUGCUUCCUCAUGGUCCUGAGGACCUACCAGGGCCACUACUGAAAACCACUCUCAGGCUCCCUCCUCCAGAAAAAGUCCCCAGGAAUCCCAGGAAGGUGGGGACAGCAGCACCAGCCACUGGGAUCUUUAGGGAAGGAUGAGUGAAAACUUUCCCUGACAAGGGACUGGAGAGACCUCGUGCCUGCCUGAGGCACAAUGUACAAGGAAUGGGUGCUGGGGCUGGUGCAGGGCCUGAGUCCCUGUAAGUGACCCCUCCACUCGUGUAAACAACCAUAUUUACUCUGAGUAGAUUAAAAAAAAAAAGACAUCAAAGUAGAAUUGGACUUGUUAACUUGUUAGGGAGAACAUUUUCAGGGGCUGCAGGGAUGAGAAUAAUAAAGGUCAAACUCUCUAACGUGUGUAUAUGUAUAUGAUAUCAUCAAAGAAUUUAACACACACACACACACACACACAGAUACAGAGAGACAUACACACAUAUACACACAUACACGCAUACAUAUAGACAUACAGAGAGAGAGACACACACAGAGACACACACACAUACACACAGAGACACACACACAUACACACAGACACAAACACACACAUACACACACAUAUAGACACACACACAGAGACACAGACACACCCGCCUUCCUGACAUUCAGGCCUCCAGUGGACGCUGCAGGGCCUUUCUUCCUCAUUUUAAGAUUGUGAGCUCAAAGCAAAGGCAGACACUUGUAGGCCACAGAGCCACACAUGGAGGGAGGAAUGUCCCUAGCUAAGAUUGCAAUCUGAAUUUCAGCUCAGUCACACCCUCAUAGCAUGGA
Molecule: long non-coding RNA, 1833 nt
Organism: Apodemus sylvaticus (European woodmouse)
Lineage: Eukaryota; Metazoa; Chordata; Mammalia; Rodentia; Muridae
Exons: 3
Source: RefSeq, a predicted model, not a curated record